CGAAGGGGCUCAAAAUCAACGGCU
Molecule: microRNA, 24 nt
Filed under: Ananas comosus (pineapple)
Lineage: Eukaryota; Viridiplantae; Streptophyta; Magnoliopsida; Poales; Bromeliaceae
Description: microRNA s0732_c94a
Source: RNAcentral